GAUGAACGCUGGCGGCGUGCCUAAUACAUGCAAGUCGAGCGAACAGACGAGGAGCUUGCUCCUCUGACGUUAGCGGCGGACGGGUGAGUAACACGUGGAUAACCUACCUAUAAGACUGGGAUAACUUCGGGAAACCGGAGCUAAUACCGGAUAAUAUAUUGAACCGCAUGGUUCAAUAGUGAAAGACGGUUUUGCUGUCACUUAUAGAUGGAUCCGCGCCGCAUUAGCUAGUUGGUAAGGUAACGGCUUACCAAGGCAACGAUGCGUAGCCGACCUGAGAGGGUGAUCGGCCACACUGGAACUGAGCCACGGUACAGACUCGUACGGGAGGCAGCAGUAGGGAAUGUUACGCAAUGGGCGGAAGCCUGACGGAACAACGCCGCGUGAGUGAUGAAGGGCUUCGGAUCGUAAAACUCUGUUAUUAGGGAAGAACAAAUGUGUAAGUAACUAUGCACGUCUUGACGGUACCUAAUCAGAAAGCCACGGCUAACUACGUG
RNAcentral lists this ribosomal RNA (497 nucleotides) under uncultured bacterium. RNAcentral describes it as "partial 16S ribosomal RNA". It matches the Rfam family "Bacterial small subunit ribosomal RNA", at positions 28 to 507 of the family's 1533-position model. The record is from RNAcentral.